Molecule: ribosomal RNA, 558 nt
Filed under: Salmonella enterica
Lineage: Bacteria; Pseudomonadati; Pseudomonadota; Gammaproteobacteria; Enterobacterales; Enterobacteriaceae
Description: partial 23S ribosomal RNA
Rfam family: Bacterial large subunit ribosomal RNA
Source: RNAcentral
AGACCCGAAACCCGGUGAUCUAGCCAUGGGCAGGUUGAAGGUUGGGUAACACUAACUGGAGGACCGAACCGACUAAUGUUGAAAAAUUAGCGGAUGACCUGUGGCUGGGGGUGAAAGGCCAAUCAAACCGGGAGAUAGCUGGUUCUCCCCGAAAGCUAUUUAGGUAGCGCCUCGUGAAUUCAUCUCCGGGGGUAGAGCACUGUUUCGGCUAGGGGGCCAUCCCGGCUUACCAACCCGAUGCAAACUGCGAAUACCGGAGAAUGUUAUCACGGGAGACACACGGCGGGUGCUAACGUCCGUCGUGAAGAGGGAAACAACCCAGACCGCCAGCUAAGGUCCCAAAGUCAUGGUUAAGUGGGAAACGAUGUGGGAAGGCCCAGACAGCCAGGAUGUUGGCUUAGAAGCAGCCAUCAUUUAAAGAAAGCGUAAUAGCUCACUGGUCGAGUCGGCCUGCGCGGAAGAUGUAACGGGGCUAAACCAUGCACCGAAGCUGCGGCAGCGACACUCAGGUGUUGUUGGGUAGGGGAGCGUUCUGUAAGCCUGUGAAGGUGUGUCGUG